UACGAAGGUCCCGAGCGUUGUUCGGAAUCACUGGGCGUAAAGGGAGCGUAGGCGGCGUGGUAAGUCAGAUGUGAAAUCCCGGGGCUCAACCCCGGAACUGCAUCCGAUACUGCCGUGCUUGAGGGUUGGAGAGGUAGCUGGAAUUAUCGGUGUAGCAGUGAAAUGCGUGGAUAUCAGGAGGAACACCAAUUGCGAAGGCAGCUCGCUGGGACGUUACUGACGCUGAGACGCGAAAGCGUGGGGAGCAAACAGG
Molecule: ribosomal RNA, 253 nt
Filed under: uncultured bacterium
Lineage: Bacteria
Description: partial 16S ribosomal RNA
Rfam family: Bacterial small subunit ribosomal RNA
Source: RNAcentral